This is a non-coding RNA of Schistosoma haematobium, 45 nucleotides long. NCBI's taxonomy places the organism in Eukaryota, Metazoa, Platyhelminthes, Trematoda, Strigeidida, Schistosomatidae. The record is from Rfam.
AUCCAGCUGACGAGUCUCAAGUAGGACGAAACGUGCGUUUUGAAU